RNAcentral lists this long non-coding RNA (1139 nucleotides) under Rhinopithecus bieti (black snub-nosed monkey). RNAcentral's name for it is "lncRNA (ENSRBIG00000045705.1)". Lineage: Eukaryota; Metazoa; Chordata; Mammalia; Primates; Cercopithecidae. The record is from RNAcentral.
CCAUGUCCUGCAGACGUCUGGCGGCAGCGUCUACUCCAUUGCUGUGACAAAUCACCACAUUGUCUGUGGCACCUACGAGAACCUCAUCCACGUAAGGCCAGGGCGUCUGGGUGUAGGGCCAGACUGUGGCCCCAUCUCCCCUGCCUUGCUCAGUGUCUUUGACCUGCCUGUGCCCACCCCUCCCAGGUGUGGGACAUUGAGUCCAAGGAGCAGGUGCGGACCCUCACAGGCCAUGUGGGCACUGUGUAUGCCCUGGCAGUCAUCUCGACACCAGACCAGACCAAAGUCUUCAGUGCAUCCUACGACCGGUCCCUCAGGGUGCGUGCGGGCCCAGGGGUGGCAGGAGGCUCAGAGGGCGGGCAGCUGAGCUCUAGUGGGCCCUCACGUCCCAUGUGCCCCAGGUCUGGAGUAUGGACAACAUGAUCUGCACGCAGACCCUGCUGCGUCACCAGGGCAGCGUCACCGCGCUGGCCGUGUCCCGGGGCCGACUCUUCUCAGGGGCUGUGGAUAGCACUGUGAAGGUCAGUGCCCAUGGCUCGGGCCAUUUAAAGGGGCUGCAUGGGAUGGAGCGGGGUGGGAAUGAGGAGCUGGCAGCCCCAGCAUGAGGUGGUGGAGGGGAGGUAUGUGUGACAAGUGUGGCUGGGGCAGGGCGGCCGGCCGCAGGACACCUUGGUGAAGCAGCCCUUUCUCUGCAGGUUUGGACUUGCUAACAGGAUCCAGGCCAGGCCGUGGCUUCCCCUGGACCAGCCCUGGACCAGCCCUGGACCUGUCUGAACCAGGCUGGUCACAUGGGGUGGUCUCGGGGUUUCUGCCUGCCCUGUGGGCACAGGUGGACAGGCUUUGGCAGCCGGGCAGUGCCCUCCCUGCCCCAUGCUCGGCGAGCCUCCCUCGGCACUGUCCUCGCCACCCAGCCCCUCUCUCUGGGUGCCAGACUGUAUGUAGAUUUGGUUACUUCUUGGUGGAAAUAAACACUCCACAGACUGUGGCUGUGAGUGGGGACAGCUCCUCGGGACAAGGGGCUGUGUGUGGCCUUGAGGUUGGUGUGCAUAGGCACUGGCUGCUGUGAGUGGGGGGGCAUGGGGCGGUUUCCUCUGGUGGACCCCAGGACUUCAGCCCACUCUGGGGCCUCCCUGCUAGGA